This 415-nucleotide small RNA is filed under the name Pongo abelii (Sumatran orangutan). Its description in RNAcentral is "processed transcript". The record is from RNAcentral. Lineage: Eukaryota; Metazoa; Chordata; Mammalia; Primates; Hominidae.
GUAAAGAAAAUAAAAAUAUAAUACCUAAGUCUCUUUGUAUUACAUAAAGCAAAAUGCAAAGCACUGUAUCUUCCAAAUACUCCUCUUGAUAUGGUGGAAUUAUAGAGUAGUAUCAUUUGUAACUGAAAUGUUUUCUAGGGCUGCUAUGCAAAAGCAAGACUGUGGUUUCAUUCCAAUUUCCUGUAUAUCGGAAUCAUCACCAUCUGUGUAUGUGUGAUUGAGGUGUUGGGGAUGUCCUUUGCACUGACCCUGAACUGCCAGAUUGAUAAAACCAGCCAGACCAUAGGGCUAUGAUCUGCAGUUGUCCUGUGGUGAAGAGACUUGUUUCAUCUCUGGAAAUGCAAAACCGUUUAUAGCAUGAAGCCCUACAUGAUCACUGCAGGAUGAUCCUCCUCCCAUCCUUUCCCUUUUUAGG